This 475-nucleotide long non-coding RNA is filed under the name Lactuca sativa (garden lettuce). Its description in RNAcentral is "long non-coding RNA (LSAT_LNC009166)". The record is from RNAcentral. Lineage: Eukaryota; Viridiplantae; Streptophyta; Magnoliopsida; Asterales; Asteraceae.
AACUCGGAAUAUUUGGAGAAAAAAUGUUCAUAUGUGGCAUUUGACACAAAGAUCACAUAAUAUAAUAACAAUUACACUAUAAUAAAAGAGUUUCGUACAUAAAGGAAAUACUAUUACAUCAUUAUUCCACCAUCUAUCAUGGAAACGAAAAGAUCACAAAUGCCAUGAUGAUCCGCCAACUAACAUGGUGGAGCAGGGAGGUUGCACUUAACUGGUAAACCCAAUGCAAGUCCGGGAUCAAUGCCUAGAGAAGGCAAUAUCAGAGACUCCUUAUACGAACACAAACACUUCAUGUCCGCUCCCGAUACUGCCUUACAACACUCAGGGCUUGGGUACACUGGUUUCUCGGUCGUCACUGACGGUUUGCAUGCCAUCAAACCAUCCUCAGUCAUAUUGCAUAUUUCCGCCGCUUGUAAACCACCUAUCACAACCAUCAACACCAAAAUCACCACCACCGGAGUCCUUGGCGUCAUCA